Molecule: non-coding RNA, 254 nt
Filed under: Beta vulgaris subsp. vulgaris (sugar beet)
Lineage: Eukaryota; Viridiplantae; Streptophyta; Magnoliopsida; Caryophyllales; Amaranthaceae
Description: Bacterial large subunit ribosomal RNA
Rfam family: Bacterial large subunit ribosomal RNA
Source: Rfam by way of RNAcentral
UCCUAGUACGAGAGGACCGGAGUGGACGCACCUCUGGUGUACCGGUUGUCACGCCAGUGGCAUUGCCGGGUAGCUAAGUGCGGAAGAGAUAACCGCUGAAAGCAUCUAAGCGGGAAACUCGUUCCAAGAUGAGAUCUGCCGGGGCCUUGAGCCCCCUGAAGGGUCGUCGUAGACCACGACGUUGAUAGGCUGGGUGUGGAAGCGCAGCAAUGCGUUAAGCUAACCAGUACUAAUUGCCCGUGCGGCUUGACCCU